Molecule: ribosomal RNA, 1343 nt
Filed under: uncultured bacterium
Lineage: Bacteria
Description: 16S ribosomal RNA
Rfam family: Bacterial small subunit ribosomal RNA
Source: RNAcentral
GACGAACGCUGGCGGCGUGCUUAACACAUGCAAGUCGAACGGAAAGGCCCUGCUUUUGUGGGGUGCUCGAGUGGCGAACGGGUGAGUAACACGUGAGCAACCUGCCCUUGACUUUGGGAUAACUUCAGGAAACUGGGGCUAAUACCGGAUAGGAGCUCCUGCUGCAUGGUGGGGGUUGGAAAGUUUCGGCGGUUGGGGAUGGACUCGCGGCUUAUCAGCUUGUUGGUGGGGUAGUGGCUUACCAAGGCUUUGACGGGUAGCCGGCCUGAGAGGGUGACCGGCCACAUUGGGACUGAGAUACGGCCCAGACUCCUACGGGAGGCAGCAGUGGGGAAUAUUGCACAAUGGGCGGAAGCCUGAUGCAGCAACGCCGCGUGCGGGAUGACGGCCUUCGGGUUGUAAACCGCUUUCGCCUGUGACGAAGCGUGAGUGACGGUAAUGGGUAAAGAAGCACCGGCUAACUACGUGCCAGCAGCCGCGGUGAUACGUAGGGUGCGAGCGUUGUCCGGAUUUAUUGGGCGUAAAGGGCUCGUAGGUGGUUGAUCGCGUCGGAAGUGUAAUCUUGGGGCUUAACCCUGAGCGUGCUUUCGAUACGGGUUGACUUGAGGAGGGUAGGGGAGAAUGGAAUUCCUGGUGGAGCGGUGGAAUGCGCAGAUAUCAGGAGGAACACCAGUGGCGAAGGCGGUUCUCUGGGCCUUUCCUGACGCUGAGGAGCGAAAGCGUGGGGAGCGAACAGGCUUAGAUACCCUGGUAGUCCACGCUGUAAACGGUGGGUACUAGGUGUGGGGUCCAUUCCACGGAUUCCGUGCCGUAGCUAACGCUUUAAGUACCCCGCCUGGGGAGUACGGCCGCAAGGCUAAAACUCAAAGGAAUUGACGGGGCCCCGCACAAGCGGCGGAGCAUGCGGAUUAAUUCGAUGCAACGCGUAGAACCUUACCUGGGUUUGACAUAGAUCGGGAGUGCUCAGAGAUGGGUGUGCCUCUUUUGGGGUCGGUUCACAGGUGGUGCAUGGCUGUCGUCAGCUCGUGUCGUGAGAUGUUGGGUUAAGUCCCGCAACGAGCGCAACCCUUGUUCAUUGUUGCCAGCACGUUAUGGUGGGGACUCAGUGGAGACCGCCGGGGUCAACUCGGAGGAAGGUGGGGAUGACGCCAAGUCAUCAUGCCCCUUAUGUCCAGGGCUUCACGCAUGCUACAAUGGCUGGUACAGAGAGUGGCGAGCCUGUGAGGGUGAGCGAAUCUCGGAAAGCCGGUCUCAGUUCGGAUUGGGGUCUGCAACUCGACCUCAUGAAGUCGGAGUCGCUAGUAAUCGCAGAUCAGCAACGCUGCGGUGAAUACGCUCCCGGG